AGGGUUUGAUUAUGGCUCAGGAUGAACGCUGGCGGCGUGCCUAACACAUGCAAGUCGAACGAAGCACUUUAACUUGAUUCUUCGGAUGAAGGUUAUUGUGACUGAGUGGCGGACGGGUGAGUAACGCGUGGGUAACCUGCCUCAUACAGGGGGAUAACAGUUAGAAAUGACUGCUAAUACCGCAUAAGACCACAGGGUCGCAUGACCCGGUGGGAAAAACUCCGGUGGUAUGAGAUGGACCCGCGUCUGAUUAGGUAGUUGGUGGGGUAACGGCCUACCAAGCCGACGAUCAGUAGCCGACCUGAGAGGGUGACCGGCCACAUUGGGACUGAGACACGGCCCAA
RNAcentral lists this ribosomal RNA (344 nucleotides) under uncultured bacterium. Its description in RNAcentral is "bacterial SSU rRNA". It matches the Rfam family "Bacterial small subunit ribosomal RNA", at positions 8 to 334 of the family's 1533-position model. The record is from RNAcentral.